GCGCACAGAUUAAUACCGAUGCAGCAUUUUAACCGGGAAGUAUUCCAGGUAUUGUUAUUUAUAUUUUUACCACUGGGAAGGGAUUAGCAAUCAUCAAUAUUGAUUACAGAAUAGAAUAUGAGAUUGAGCAUCUAUCAUUGCAUGUAUAAUUGAGAACAUUAUAUCUAACUCUUCAUACAGGGAUAAGUGUCACAUAAAGGAUAUAUGAAAUAAUAAUAGUGACAAAGAUAAUUAAUCUGAUCUAGCCACAUAAUAAAUAUGAUAAGAACCUCAAUUAGAUACUCUAGAAAGUCAUUAUCAUGGUAUUAGAACGAACUACAAGAAUAUUCCCUAAGUUAUUCUCAACUAUAUAGUCUAG
Molecule: long non-coding RNA, 358 nt
Filed under: Sorghum bicolor (sorghum)
Lineage: Eukaryota; Viridiplantae; Streptophyta; Magnoliopsida; Poales; Poaceae
Description: long non-coding RNA (SBIC_LNC014471)
Source: RNAcentral